This is a non-coding RNA of Cajanus cajan (pigeon pea), 672 nucleotides long. NCBI's taxonomy places the organism in Eukaryota, Viridiplantae, Streptophyta, Magnoliopsida, Fabales, Fabaceae. The record is from RefSeq and is a predicted model, not a curated record.
GUGACCGAUGUAAGACAUUAUUAUUUUACAUAGUUCGAUGUAGAAUUGGAAGACAUUUCUAAGCCCCAGCUUGAUCUCGUGCUUUCUCAGUGCGCGAUUUUCCAACUCCAUGCGUAGGAAGUUCUUUGAUUGGCGAAAUCUUCUUUGAGUGUUCCUCAACUGAUCGUCUACUCUCGUGCAACAACCAAUUGAACGCAUUGUAUUCUUUGAAUGCACUAUUAGAAGCCUUGUCGGAUCCUCAAAACUACGUUCAUCAGAAACUUCAGAAGCUGGGUAAUUAUCGUAUUGCCAGUUUACUAGGAAAAGAAAAGGAUUGUGCCUACAAGUUGAGUAUCAGAAGUUAGAUCUACUUUGUAAGGAUCAAAGGGAAGCCUCUCAUUUGAUGUUAAUAAAAUCUCUUUUCUUUUUAUUGUAUUGUUUAGUGACUUUUGGAACUCUUAAUUCCCACAGUUCUUCGUCUUCUUUUUCUCUUCUAGACUAUAAUUACCUCUUUUUAGCUUUUGAUUGUUUUAAAUCUUCCAAGUUUGGUUUCAUGUUUUGGAACUGUUUUUGGGUGGUUAGUUAGUCGUCCAUAAGAAAUGCUUUUGCGUAACUUUUAGCAUCAUAGAGGCACCUUGGUUUCUACUUAGCAACAAGGGGGUAAAACAUGAACCUAUUGUUCUAGACCAACUA